RNAcentral lists this ribosomal RNA (506 nucleotides) under uncultured bacterium. RNAcentral describes it as "partial 16S ribosomal RNA". It matches the Rfam family "Bacterial small subunit ribosomal RNA", at positions 28 to 506 of the family's 1533-position model. The record is from RNAcentral.
GACGAACGCUGGCGGCGUGCCUAAUACAUGCAAGUCGAACGCAUUUUCUUUCACCGUAGCUUGCUACACCGAAAGAAAAUGAGUGGCGAACGGGUGAGUAACACGUGGGUAACCUGCCCAUCAGCGGGGGAUAACACUUGGAAACAGGUGCUAAUACCGCAUAAUUCCAUUUACCGCAUGGUAAAUGGAUGAAAGGCGCUUUUGCGUCACUGAUGGAUGGACCCGCGGUGCAUUAGCUAGUUGGUGGGGUAACGGCCUACCAAGGCUGCGAUGCAUAGCCGACCUGAGAGGGUGAUCGGCCACACUGGGACUGAGACACGGCCCAGACUCCUACGGGAGGCAGCAGUAGGGAAUCUUCGGCAAUGGACGCAAGUCUGACCGAGCAACGCCGCGUGAUUGAAGAAGGUUUUCGGAUCGUAAAACUCUGUUGUUAGAGAAGAACAAGGAUGAGAGUGGAAAGUUCAUCCCUGGACGGUAUCUAACCAGAAAGCCACGGCUAACUACGU